GGGGCCUUCGCUCUGCUCUGAGAGCGCCUGCUUUGCACGCUGGAGGUCAGAGUUUCGAUCCCUCUAGGUUCCA
This 73-nucleotide transfer RNA is filed under the name Enterococcus lactis. Its description in RNAcentral is "tRNA-Ala". It matches the Rfam family "tRNA". From Rfam's summary of the family: Transfer RNA (tRNA) molecules are approximately 80 nucleotides in length. Lineage: Bacteria; Bacillati; Bacillota; Bacilli; Lactobacillales; Enterococcaceae. The record is from RNAcentral.